RNAcentral lists this ribosomal RNA (442 nucleotides) under uncultured bacterium. Its description in RNAcentral is "partial 16S ribosomal RNA". It matches the Rfam family "Bacterial small subunit ribosomal RNA", at positions 338 to 795 of the family's 1533-position model. The record is from RNAcentral.
CCUACGGGUGGCAGCAGUGGGGAAUAUUGGGCAAUGGGCGCAAGCCUGACCCAGCAACGCCGCGUGAAGGAAGAAGGCUCUCGGGUUGUAAACUUCUUUUAGGAGGGAAGAGCAGACGAGGGUACCUCUUGAAUAGGCCACGGCUAACUACGUGCCAGCAGCCUCGGUAAUACGUAGGUGGCAAGCGUUGUCCGGGUUUACUGGGUGUAACGGGCGUGCAUCCGGGAAGACAAGUCAGAUGGGAAAUCCCGCGGCUUAACCGCGGAACUGCAGUUGAAACUGUUUUUCUUGAGUACCGGAGAGGUCAUCGGAAUUCCUUGUGUAGCGGUGAAAUGCGUAGAUAUAAGGCAGAACACCAGUGGCGAAGGCGGAUUACUGGCCGGCAACUGACGGUGAGGCGCGAAAGCGUGGGGAGCAAACAGGAUUAGAUACCCGGGUAGUC